AUUAGGGUUUCAAAUGAAUGAGAUUUU
RNAcentral lists this non-coding RNA (27 nucleotides) under Bombyx mori (domestic silkworm). The record is from RNAcentral. Lineage: Eukaryota; Metazoa; Arthropoda; Insecta; Lepidoptera; Bombycidae.